GAACUUAAGCAUAUCAAUAAGCGGAGGAAAAGAAACCAACAGGGAUUGCCUCAGUAACGGCGAGUGAAGCGGCAACAGCUCAAAUUUGAAAUCUGGCCCCGUCGGGGUCCGAGUUGUAAUUUGUAGAGAGUGUUUCGGGUGAGACCACGGUCUAAGUCCAUUGGAACAUGGCGUCAUAGAGGGUGAGAAUCCCGUAUGUGACUGUGGCUCGAGCCCAUGUGAAGCCUCUUCGACGAGUCGAGUUGUUUGGGAAUGCAGCUCAAAAUGGGUGGUAAAUUUCAUCUAAAGCUAAAUACUGGCUGGAGACCGAUAGCGCACAAGUAGAGUGAUCGAAAGAUGAAAAGCACUUUGGAAAGAGAGUCAAAAAGUACGUGAAAUUGUUGAAAGGGAAGCGCUUGCAACCAGACCUGUCCGUAGGUGAUCAGCCGCUGUUCUCAGCGGUGCACUCGCUCUGCGAUCAGGCCAGCAUCGGUUCCGGCGGUCGGAUAAAGGCCUUGGGAAUGUAGCUCCUCUCGGGGAGUCUUAUAGCCCUCGGUGCAAUGCGGCCAGCCGGGACCGAGGACCGCGCUUCGGCUAGGAUGCUGGCGUAAUGGUUGUAAGCGACCCGUCUUGAAACACGGACCAAGGAGUCUAACAUCAAUGCGAGUGUUUGGGUGUUAAACCCAUGCGCGGAAUGAAAGUGAACGGAGGUGAGAACCCGUUAGGGCGCAUCAUCGACCGAUCCAGAUGUCUUCGGAUGGAUUUGAGUAUGAGCAUUGCUGUUGGGACCCGAAAGAUGGUGAACUAUGCCUGAAUAGGGUGAAGCCAGAGGAAACUCUGGUGGAGGCUCGCAGCGGUUCUGACGUGCAAAUCGAUCGUCAAAUUUGGGUAUAGGGGCGAAAGACUA
RNAcentral lists this ribosomal RNA (886 nucleotides) under Usnea glabrata. Its description in RNAcentral is "eukaryotic LSU rRNA". It matches the Rfam family "Eukaryotic large subunit ribosomal RNA", at positions 30 to 933 of the family's 3401-position model. The record is from RNAcentral. Lineage: Eukaryota; Fungi; Ascomycota; Lecanoromycetes; Lecanorales; Parmeliaceae.